CGGACGGGUGAGUAACGCGUGGGUAACCUGCCUUGUACUGGGAGACAACAGUUAGAAAUGACUGCUAAUACCGCAUAAGCGCACAGUAUCGCAUGAUACAGUGUGAAAAACUCCGGUGGUACAAGAUGGACCCGCGUCUGAUUAGCUAGUUGGUAAGGUAACGGCUUACCAAGGCGACGAUCAGUAGCCGACCUGAGAGGGUGACCGGCCACAUUGGGACUGAGACACGGUCCAA
Molecule: ribosomal RNA, 235 nt
Filed under: uncultured bacterium
Lineage: Bacteria
Description: partial 16S ribosomal RNA
Rfam family: Bacterial small subunit ribosomal RNA
Source: RNAcentral